This 72-nucleotide transfer RNA is filed under the name Ictidomys tridecemlineatus (thirteen-lined ground squirrel). RNAcentral's name for it is "Spermophilus tridecemlineatus (thirteen-lined ground squirrel) tRNA". It matches the Rfam family "tRNA". Rfam says of the family: Transfer RNA (tRNA) molecules are approximately 80 nucleotides in length. Their secondary structure includes four short double-helical elements and three loops (D, anti-codon, and T loops). Lineage: Eukaryota; Metazoa; Chordata; Mammalia; Rodentia; Sciuridae. The record is from Rfam by way of RNAcentral.
UGGGUUGUGGCUAAAUGGUAGAGCACAUACCUUGCAUGUGUGAGGCACUGGGUUUGAUCCUCAGCAUCACAU